RNAcentral lists this microRNA precursor (103 nucleotides) under Marmota monax (woodchuck). The record is from RNAcentral. Lineage: Eukaryota; Metazoa; Chordata; Mammalia; Rodentia; Sciuridae.
AAAUAUGAUACUGGAUCAUAUGGUAAGAGCAUGUUUCAUUUUGUAAGAGACCGACAGACCGCCUUCUAAAGUGCCUGUGCCAUUCUGCAUUCCCACCAGCAGC